UGCGUAGGUGGGGCAAUUAGUCAGUGGUGAAAUCCUGCGGCUUAACCGUAGAACUGCCAUUGAUACUGUUGCCCUUGAGUAUAGUUGAAGUGGGCGGAAUAUGUAAUGUAGCGGUGAAAUGCAUAGAGAUUACAUAGAACACCAAUUGCGAAGGCAGCUCACUAAGCUAUCACUGACGCUGAGGCACGAAAGCGUGGGGAGCGAACAGGAUUAGAUACCCUGGUAGUCC
RNAcentral lists this ribosomal RNA (229 nucleotides) under uncultured bacterium. RNAcentral's name for it is "partial 16S ribosomal RNA". It matches the Rfam family "Bacterial small subunit ribosomal RNA", at positions 568 to 796 of the family's 1533-position model. The record is from RNAcentral.